CAAUGGUGCGUUGGGCUGAGCGUACCACCCUCUGUAGAGCCUUGCAGUCAGCGGUGGUGGAGUUGCCUUACCAGGCCGUGAUUUAGCCUGACAGUAUGCUCUCUGGUGCUCCUGUAGAACACUGUGAGGGCCCUCGGGGAUGUGUGUCACAUCAGGACCGAAUUCUAAUGGUUCCCUGUUUCUCCCUGGGACUCCUGACUGAACACACACACGCACGCACACACACACAGCUUUGUAAUGAGUUGUAUUGUCCUCAUGGAGAGGCCUCUAACUGACCUGGUGAUGGUGUUUGUCUGGUUUAAUAUGAGAAGGAGAUGGAGGUGAUGGAAAGAGCGAGGGAGAGAGGAAGGGAGAGAGAGAGAGAGGGACAGACUGCCUCACCACUGCAGUGGCUGAUUUUGUUGUUGCUUACCCCCCCACCUCUGCUGCAUUGUGCACUGCCUCUGAGAAAAACAGCAAACCAUUUCAGACACAGACAGCGCACCCCAUACACACACUCAGGAAUAUUCACACCGGCUCAGGUGAGAAGGUGUACUCUUUUUUUUUUUUUGCAUUAGUACAUCACACACCACACAUGCAUGUAAACGCACACAUACACCUCUCUCUCUUACCUACUACUGGCUUUUCUCACGCUUCUCUCGCGCUCUUCAUCCCUCCUUCCCUUGGCUGCGUGUUAGAGUUGUUAUUGAGCUGCGAACCGUCCUGUUGCAUUAGUACUGUGUGUGUGUGUGUGUGUGUGUCAGCCCUGUCUGUCCGCGAUGAGCAUUAACACAUUAACUCAUGGCCUCUUGCUGAGAGUGACCUGGAUAAAAACACACACGCACACAACCGGCAGCAGCUCCAGCAGAGCGAGAUUGGACUGCGUGGCUGGGAGGGGCAGACUUUGUUGUAGCCCCAGACAUAAAACAACUGAUGCCUGUGUGUGCAGUUAAUGCUGUUCCCCCUCCCCCCCAAAAAAAUUAUUGAAAAGUCCUGGAAAAUAAUGACUUGAAAAGAGUGGAAGUCUCUGUCUAACCGGCGCCAUAACACAGAGGCCCGUCUCGCUCUCUCUCCAGUAUCUAACCCUCCUCCUCUCUCUCUCUCUCUCUCUCUCUCUCUCUCUCUCUCUCUCUCUCUCUCUCUCUCUCUGUCUCUCUGUCUCUCUGUCUCUCUGUCUCUCUGUCUCUCUGUCUCUCUGUCUCUCUGUCUCUCUGUCUGUCUGUCUCUCUGUGUGUGUGUUUCAGAAGGUGGAAGAUGAGGACAGGGACAGCCAGGUGAGGAGAUCGCGUCCUCCUGAGCCUCUGGUUUCUCCUAACAGUAAACUGUCCGACAGCGAUGCAGCAACCAAGGCUAAAGCCCAGGCUACUCUGAUGUUCAACCGCCUGUUCCCCCACAUUAAGGAAGAGCCUGGCCAUCCCGCCACGGUCCAUCCCAGGUACAUUUGUUUUCCUAUUUCGAUAUAUUUUAGCCCACAAUGGAGGCUAAUCUUCCAAGAGUCCUGGGGACUGGCUAGCUCCGGUCUUCCUCCUGGGAAGACCUGGCCCUUGAGAAUCCAUUCCAAGUAACUUUCCCAACAUCCUCUCGGGGACCGUUACUAGAGCAGUGCUGAAACCCCGCUCUGUCCCUUACCCUGCCUCCAGUUGACCCGACCGUGGGCCCGUGCCAGUGUGACUUUUUGUGGUCUUCUGAUCAGUAAUCGGCUCCAGAUUCAUGUAGAGGCUAGCUGGAUUAUAGGAGGCAUGGCUAGCUGGAUUAUAGGAGGCAUGUGACCACAGCGAGGAAACAGGCAGUCUAGACUAUGGGAUUAUAACUGGCCGCUCGACAGGACAUGUCUGCCUUAGACUUCAGACUCAGACCAGACCAGACCAAAGCUGGUUUCCCCGCAUUCGGUGGUUUAUACAAUGGUCGUUACUGAAGUGCAACGUUACAACCGAGUGUUUUCUAGAACACCAGUGAGUCUCACUAGCCUGUGAAAACUUGCCCCAUAUUAAAGGUGUGCACUAUGCAGAAGUCGAUCUGCCAUUUCGUGGUUGCUAAAAUUCGAAUCGUUUUGGGCCUACUGAGCUGGCUAAGGCACUGCAGUGCUGAGUCCUGGGCCGUGACCGGGAGCCUCAUAGGACGGAGCACAAUUGGGCCCAUCGCCGUCUGGGUUAGGGGAGGGGUUGGCCGGUUUGGCCACAUUGGUGCGGAUGACUUCCAGUUUAAGCAAGCAGUGUGUUAAGAAGCAGUGUGGCUUCUCAGAAAGUGACAUAUUGCAGCUUUAAAGAGAGUGUUACCAUAACUGAUGUAUAUCCAUUUUAGUGCAACUUGGAUGCCAAAAAUGCACAAGUGGUAUACGUAGAAUAACGGUGAGCAUGUGUCUCUCUGUAACUCUGUACCUGUAUAUACAUUUGAUAACGUCUGCUAUCUGAAAUGUAUGAAAAUGUAUGUAUUCACUACUGUAAGUCGCUCUGGAUAAGAGCGUCUGCUAAAUGACGUAAAUGUAAACGUAAAUGUAAAUCUCUUUCUCUCUCUCCCUAGUCACU
This is a long non-coding RNA of Salmo trutta (river trout), 2504 nucleotides long. Lineage: Eukaryota; Metazoa; Chordata; Actinopteri; Salmoniformes; Salmonidae. The record is from Ensembl.